Non-coding RNA from Pelobates cultripes (western spadefoot toad), 206 nucleotides. Lineage: Eukaryota; Metazoa; Chordata; Amphibia; Anura; Pelobatidae. The record is from the annotation of a GenBank genome assembly.
CUGACUUACUUUUCUAUUAAAUUUUUGUUAUGUUCCCUUAAUAAUAUGUCCUCGCCUCUGUAUUAACAAAAAUAUAUAGAAAACUGUGGACCGAGGGGUAAUCGGACAGAUCUAUCUUACACUUAUGGUGAUAAUUCUUGCUUCCCACAAAAUCUGUGGAUGUUUCCUCUGCAAUUCUUACCUGUUCUGUGUUAAAUUUAUAUAUG